Molecule: ribosomal RNA, 424 nt
Filed under: uncultured prokaryote
Description: bacterial SSU rRNA
Rfam family: Bacterial small subunit ribosomal RNA
Source: RNAcentral
UGAGGAAUAUUGCGCAAUGGGGGCAACCCUGACGCAGCCAUGCCGCGUGAGUGACGAAGGCCCUAGGGUUGUAAAGCUCUUUCAGAUGCGAAUAUAAUGAAGGUAACAUCAGAAGAAGCUCCGGCUAAAUUCGUGCCAGCAGCCGCGGUAAUACGAAUGGAGCGAGCGUUGUUCGGAAUCACUGGGCGUAAAGCGUAUGUAGGCGGACUUGAAAGUCAGAAGUGAAAUCCCGAGGCUCAACCUCGGAAUUGCUUUUGAAACUCCAAGUCUUGAGUCCCGGAGGGGCCAGCGGAAUUCCGAGUGUAGAGGUGAAAUUCGCAGAUAUUCGGAGGAACACCAGUGGCGUAGGCGGCUGGCUGGACGGGAACUGACGCUGAGAUACGAAAGCGUGGGGAGCAAACAGGAUUAGAUACCCCCGUAGUCC